RNAcentral lists this unclassified non-coding RNA (395 nucleotides) under soil metagenome. RNAcentral describes it as "partial contains 5.8S ribosomal RNA, internal transcribed spacer 2, and large subunit ribosomal RNA". The stretch from base 1 to 122 matches the Rfam family "5.8S ribosomal RNA", at positions 35 to 154 of the family's 154-position model. The record is from RNAcentral.
GAUGAAGAACGUAGCGAAAUGCGAUACUUGGUGUGAAUUGCAGAAUCCAGUGAACCAUCGAGUCUUUGAACGCAAGUUGCGCCCGAAGCCAUCAGGUUGAGGGCACGUCUGCCUGGGCGUCACAUAUCGUUGCCCAAUGCCUAUUGCAGUGCAAUAGGAAUUUCUAGGGCGAAUGAUGGCUUCCCGUGAGCGUUGUUGCCUCGCGGUUGGUUCAAAAUCGAGUCCUUGGUAGGGUGUGCCAUGGUAGAUGGUGGUCGAGUUAGAACGAUACCGAUCAUGUGCAUGCUCCCCAAAAUAUGGCCUCUAUGACCCACACGCGUCUUUUGACGCUCAUGACGAGACCUCAGGUCAGGCGGGGCUACCCGCUGAAUUUAAGCAUAUCAAUAAGCGGAGGA